AGCUGUUUGCUAUGAGUGCUUGAUAUGGGAGAGGGAUAGCUCAGGCUGGGUUUUUGCCUGUGGCUGCUGCUGUAGGCUAGACUGCAAGACAGGAGCUGUGGGGAGCGUAGGGGUUUUUGUCAGCUUUGCACAGACCCCUUUCUGCAGGAACUGGAGGCUGUGUGAUUGGAGAGCGAUGCCACUAAUGGGAGCCUACUUGUACUUUGUCCAAAGGAAAGAGAUUGACUGUUUCACUAAACAAGAAGUGCUCACAUCAGAGGUCUGCAGUUCAGCUCCUUUGCAGAGAGGAUUUUAAUCCAAGUUGGAGUAGGUAGCUCUGACCCAUCAGUCAUCACAUGGCACUAAUAAUUGAAUCUUAGUCAAAUGGCCUCUUCUGAAUCUCACAGCUGCUUCCAUUUAAGCUAGUGUUAUGGCUGCUAGUAGCUAUGCAAAGCCCACAGUUUGAAAGAAGGCAGCACAUGAUUUAACUCAUCUGUGGGCAAGGGGGAGACCACUUCAGAGAUAGGUGGACAAAUAAACUGAUACUGUACUUUUUUUUAGGGUUUUUG
Molecule: long non-coding RNA, 548 nt
Filed under: Anser brachyrhynchus (Pink-footed goose)
Lineage: Eukaryota; Metazoa; Chordata; Aves; Anseriformes; Anatidae
Description: lncRNA (ENSABRG00000004691.1)
Source: RNAcentral